AAUCCUCACCAAAGCAGGUUCAAGAACCCAGGGCUCAAGCACAGCCUAGUGGCCCACGUCUUUACCCAGCACUUGGGAGGCAGAGGCAGGCUAAUCUCUGUGAGUUCGAAGCUAGCCUGGUCUACACAGAGAGUUCUAGAACAGCCAAGGCUACAUAGUGAGACCCUGUCUCAAAAAACAAACAAACAAACAAACAGCUCUCUGAGCUCUUCCUUCAGCCUGGGAGCAUCUUUGCUGACCUUCAGCUCACCCACACUUUCACAGAUCUGAUACUCCUGCCCGCUGAUGGAUACAGAAGACAAGGGCAGAACCAAGUGGCGUUUCACAUCAAGAACCGGUCGUCCGGGGAACCGAAGCCCAAAGACCGAGGUCCCAAAAGCCUGUGCUCCUGCCAUGGGAACUGUCCCACAGAUCAGGAAGAGGGAGGGGUCCGAGGAAAGCAGCUGGCGCCGGGAAGCCGGCGACUGAGACCUAGGGGAGCCGGUGGGAGAGCGGUCCAGAGAACGCCCAGGUGGAACCACUGGGAGAAGGGCGCGUGCGUGGAGGAGCGCGGAUCCGCGGGGACCAGCGCAGCAAGUGUGGCCGGGAGAGCGCGGCGGAAACUCGCGAAGUGACGUCACGGCCGGGCGCACCCGCGGCCGCCAGGGCGUUACCAUGUCUGUAAAGGGGAACGCUUCCCACCGCUUCACCCUACUCUCUCCAACGCGCCUGCGCCAAGUCACUUCGGGGCGGAAGUAACGGAGCGAAGUUCAGCCCCCUUAAAGGGACAGGGAUCCCUGCAGCCUGAGGGUGCGCUGCUGCUGGAAGAGAGGCGAAGUGACCCAAAAGGACGUAAGUAGCUGCUCACUACCGAUCGACAUUGGGCCAGAGUCCUCAUCCCUUUAGUGCUGCACGUUGUCUGAGUAGCUGCCCAAAAGAUGCAGGUGCCCGCAAAUGGAACUUUCGUGCUGCUGCUAACCGACGCGAACUCUUUCCUUUUGCACACCUAUCCCGCUAGCGAAGGUCGUCCCGUGGAAGCCCGAGUUAACAGUGCAUUCUGAGCUGAGCUGCGGGUGGAUCCACGUCUCCAGGUCAUCAGCCGCCAGCUCUUCAUCUGUGUGGACCCUCCUGGGUCCUCAUAAUUCCCAGGCUAACUGUAGUGAUCCAUACGUUGGUAAAUUGUUCAGCCAUUAAAACGAAGUGUUCCGUG
Long non-coding RNA from Peromyscus eremicus (cactus mouse), 1189 nucleotides. RefSeq lists it as uncharacterized. Lineage: Eukaryota; Metazoa; Chordata; Mammalia; Rodentia; Cricetidae. The transcript has 2 exons. The record is from RefSeq and is a predicted model, not a curated record.